UAAUACGUAGGUGGCAAGCGUUGUCCGGAUUUACUGGGCGUAAAGAGCGCGCAGGCGGUCGUUCAAGUCGCGUGUGAAAGCCCCCGGCUCAACUGGGGAGGGUCACGCGAUACUGAUCGACUCGAAGGCAGGAGAGGGUAGUGGAAUUCCCGGUGUAGUGGUGAAAUGCGUAGAUAUCGGGAGGAACACCAGUGGCGAAGGCGACUACCUGGCCUGUUCUUGACGCUGAGGCGCGAAAGCUAGGGGAGCAAACGGGAUUAGAUACCCCGGUAGUCCUAGCCGUAAACGAUGGACACUAGGUGUUGGUGGUAUCAACCCCGCCAGUGCCGAAGCUAACGCAUUAAGUGUCCCGCCUGGGGAGUACGGCCGCAAGGCUAAAACUCAAAUGAAUUGACGG
Molecule: ribosomal RNA, 397 nt
Filed under: uncultured bacterium
Lineage: Bacteria
Description: bacterial SSU rRNA
Rfam family: Bacterial small subunit ribosomal RNA
Source: RNAcentral